GGUGAGGGACCAGAGCGAAGUAAUAGGCCUUAAUAGCUUCGAUCAGCCUCACCUGUGCACCACACCCUCCUCCCAGGGUCUCCAUUUAAAGUCAGAUCAGGAAUCUCUGCACUGCUUAUGCUAGCUUUCCCUGAGACUGGAGAGUGGAAGAGUCUCAGAUCUCAUCGCAAGGAUCCUGCCUUCCCUCCUGGCAUUGUUACUUCUCUUCGAAGACCAAGCAUCUGUUCUUAUCUCCCACACUAGUGUCAGUGGACAGAAGGAUGCAGCAGCCUGCCUGCCCUGCUCCUGCACUGUCAGCCUCAACUGAGGAAUAAGCAGGAGGAGCUUGGAGACGAGAUCCAGGGCCUAUCCUCAUCUCUGUCACACUUAUAAAUCUGGAGAAAUUCCACUUGUUCCUUGAGGACACACAAGGAUUUUAUUACAGCAGUGUUGAAAACUGGAAUCUGGCACAUCAUAUUAACAUAAAAUGCAAGGGAAAAAUACCCAUCAACAAGCAAAGGGCAAUACAGAAAAUAGAGCCACUUGAAACGGAGCACAGGCUGGAUUUUUAACCCGUGGUUGUGAAGGCAGCUCCAUUUUGAAGAAGGAAGUUCAGUAAUUGCCUCCUGACAGACCUCCCUGUCAAUUCUCCGGGAUAUCAGGGCUGGAUUGUUUGCUGGGAAAACGUCUAAAGUCAACAGAGGGAGGUACUGGAAAUAGCAUUCAGAUGGGCAGGGGAUAUCUAGUGGGUCAGAUGGAAGCACAUGAAAGAGUCAUGCUGAAGCCAGUAGUGUGGAGUAAUCCUAUGAGAAUGACCAUGGCUGUCUUUACUGAUGUGGGAGGAGGGCAGAAGGAAUGACUUCAGUGCUGCUUUAAUUACUGAUCUCACUAACUGCCCUCCAAACCAGCAGGGUUUUGCCCGGAGCUGUUUCCAAAAGCCAGAAUGCGCUUCUGUAACUGAUUUACACCUGAAAGGGUGGCUCUGAUGGUUCCCCAGUAUGGAUUUUUACCCCAGUGAAGCUUGUACUUCUGGUAACAGAAAUCAAAGACUGUAAGUGUAUCCUGCCUGGACUGCUCACAUUGCUGGUGACAAGUGAUGCGAAAGUGACUGCACUGUCAGCUACUGGAAGCCUCAGGCAACGUGCAGCAGGGCUACAUACAGGGCUAGUUGCCUUAACUGCUUUUGACAUUUCUUCUCUCUGACCAUGAGGUUGCUGAGAUGGGAGAUUAAGUUGCUCGUGGAAGAAUGAGACCUGACACAGGUGAAAACCACAGGUGUGGAUUGCAGAAUUCAGCUGAAAGAGAGCACCCACGUGGGAAACUUCAGCUCCUUCAGUUAGCAUUUAACAGAAUCUGCAGCAGUCGAGAGCAGGGUCAUCCUGCAUGUAGGCAGUGUAAAGAGCUUCAGCAGUGAGUGGUAACACCUCUUUCUGCCACGUGUAGGUGUGGGUACACAUGCAGACCUGAGGACUGAUGUUUGGCAUAGCUCCUUUGACAAACAGUAUUUAUCUGAGGCCAAACCUCCACCCAAAGAAAGGUUCUAAGCUUCUGGGAUGUGUUUGGGAAUGAUGCUUUGAACUGGGUUACGGUGACAGUGUGUGAAAGGAAGCUUAGUGCUGGUCCACUGGCUGGGUAAAUGCAAGGGAUUGCUGCAUAGGAGGAUGGAGUUGGUCUCCUCAGCCCCUUGUCUGGUUGUGUGGUCCACAGACAUCUGCUGCAAUACAGCUGCACACCUUCGCCUGGAGUGGAGGCUGUCCUCAGUCAUCCUGCGAGGUAUGCCAGUCGCAAGAGCAUCUGAUAGGCAUUGCAGUUAACACAAGGCUAGGACCACGGUGGGUGAAGGUGGAGAGUGUACAUGAAGGAACACCUCUGUUUGGUUGCUGUUAAAUCAGUUUACAAUGUCUCAUGAGACUGCGGUGUCCCCAGGACCUCUGGCCAACACAUAAACAAAGGACAAAAUGGCCUCAGAAUGGACUUGCUGUCAUCUUUCUAGCUUCUGUGAGAGCAGUGAGAAUGGCUAACUCCUGGAGUCAGCACUAGGGAGGGAUGGAGUCCCAUUGAUACAAGGCAGAUAAGGAACUUGGCUGCAAAUCUAAAAGGACCUGAGAGUGGAAAAUGGGACAGUCCAGUGGGUGCAAACCAGGAGCCCCAGUGAGAAUCCUGAAGAGAAAGAAAGAAAGAAAGCUGUCCACCCUUUUCAGAAACCACUGAUUUUCCAUUGUAAAGAAAGAAUGAAAAAAACAAACAGAAGUUCCUUGCUUGCUGAUUGAUUUCGAAGGAAGAAAAUCUGCCCGGAGCAUCCACUGUUCCUGCGUGGGUGAUGAAGCGUUUGCUCUGGGAGCUUUGGUCACUCUGCCACUCACUUGCAAGGCACCGGGAAGCUGCUCUGCAUUCAGCAAUGCUGCAGUACCUUGUGGCUUGAGGUGCACUUGAUGAACAAGGUUGAACUGGAAUCUUUGAGCAGGAAUCCUCCUAAGCCUGAACACUGCCUAACUGGUGAAGAGUGAAGUGGGAAAUACAUACUUGUGAGCUCUGGGGCUCCUGUGGCUGGCGGACACUGCAACAAGAUCCAGCACAGCCCACAGGACUUUGAACUCAGUUUUCUCUUUGGAACAGCCUCCCCAGAUGAACUCUGAGCCUGGAUUUGAUGUUCCACACACGGUUUUGUCACAGCCCUGUGCUGUGCUGCCUGAGUGGCACCGAUGUGCAGUAAAGACCCAGCUGGCUGAGCACUUUCAGGACAAACAGGGAAGACAAUUUACUAUCUGAUUUUACGAGAGCCAUUUGCACUUUGCAGAAUUUUUUAAGCAGCAAAACCCUUAAGAGGCAUGUUCUGAGCCUGGUACCUCGGAGAAUUGCACACACAUUUCCUGUCAGCAGCCGGAGAAUGGUGUCUCACACCUGCUAUGAAGAGAUUGAAAUAUAUUCUUAAUGGCUUGAUUGCUUUGCAUUUCCCUGGAGAUGGGAUGACACACUGUGGCGUGGUUUCUUUUCCACAAGGAGCAUCCUGAACAGCGUGGCAGAGCUGAUGCUCGCUCGUACUGAUGCUCCCUGGGAUUUAACCUGUGCUUAAGAUCUAGCUAUGCUCAUAGGGAUGCUCUGGGCCUGGGAGGCAGCAGACAUGGAUCAUAGGUGGUUGCAGGCAGGAUCCUGCACUAGGACUGGUUUAAAGGUCAGCUGAUGGCUGGGCUAAAUGCCCAGAGGAAAACAUCCCUAAAAUGGAUGCUUUGCUGCAUGCAUCAUCCUGGGCAGCACUCUGAAAACCAGCAGUGAGAGAAGUUAAAACACAUUCUUUAGUUGCCUACCUCCAUGUGGUUUGUCAGAGCAUCCCAGCACCGCCAUGUGAAUGCUGCAGUGAUGCCAGGAGGACACCUUCCCACCUUGGCCAGUUACAGCCAGCACAUACCAGGGAAUGGCAGAAUAGGCCUUCCCCUGCAUCUGCCCCACUGUGAUGCUCCACCCAAAGGCUGUCCCUGUCAGCGAUGAACCUGUUAUCACACAUCAAAUAUUCAGCAACCAAAUACCAUCCAUUUCCAAGAGGCUUGAGCCCCAACCUCUUUGUUGCAUGGGAAGGAGGUGCACUAAAGGAUGACAGGCACUUCUGUAGGGUACCCUUUUAUUUCAGCAUCUUGAACAGCUGCAUGUCACCAGCCAUUAUCCUGCAGACCUCUGUACCACCCCACCUCACCACACACCCAACCCAUGGAAUGGUUUCUAAUUUUGGCAGAAGACGCUGUGGUUUCUGCUGAACGUGGUGGAAGUUGGGAGCUUUCAUCCCAUGGGAACACAGCGCAGUCCCAUAUCAGACUGAUACGAAAAGGAAACAGCGGUGCUUUUCUGCCUCAGAAUGUUUCUGUUUUUCAGACACCUGAAUAUAAACUCUGUAAAAAGGAAUUAUAUUAGAUAUGUAAAUAUUAAUAUUUAUGAAAUAAAUCCCAAAGUUUCAACUCUU
Gallus gallus (chicken) is the source of this 3931-nucleotide long non-coding RNA. RefSeq lists it as uncharacterized. The record is from RefSeq and is a predicted model, not a curated record. Lineage: Eukaryota; Metazoa; Chordata; Aves; Galliformes; Phasianidae. The transcript is spliced from 15 exons.